Molecule: long non-coding RNA, 2806 nt
Filed under: Homo sapiens (human)
Lineage: Eukaryota; Metazoa; Chordata; Mammalia; Primates; Hominidae
Description: HSALNT0383642
Source: RNAcentral
CUCACUGUGCCUUAGAAGGCAGGAUAUAUAGCAGAUGCUCCUUGGACAGAAUUCCUUCCCUUAUUCAGCGCAUGCUUAUGAAUGCCUCCCCUGAGCCAGGCAAGCUUGAGAUGCUAGGAAUUCAGCUGUGGAAGUUCAGCUCUCAAGAAGCUCACAUCUAGGGUGCGGAGUUAGAGAAAUCAGACCGGCACAUGAUACAGAAGGGACUAGGUGCUAUGGAGAGACGUGAGCUGGGGAGGGGAUAGCCUGUGUUGGGGUGGAGGCUGCUGCUUUAGAGAGAUGAGGGAAGGCCACUGGAAUCUGAUGCUGAGCAGAGAUCAGGGAUUUUAUAUAAGGGAAGUGAGGGAGUGAGUCGUGGCCACCUGAGGAGAGCAUUCCAGGAUAAGGAAACAGCAGGUGCAAAGGCACUGCUGCAGGGAGGUGCUUGGUAUAUCCAGGGAGUGUGGAGAAGUCCCGUGUGGUGGCUGCAGAGGGAGCAGGGGGAGGAUGGUGGGAGGUGAGAAUGGAGACCUCUGAGGUAGGUCCUCGAGAGCCUUAGAGGCCACGCGAAUUGCAUGGGACCCACUGGAGGGAGCCAUUCCCAGAGCCAUGACAGGUUGGGACCUGCCUGCAAAGGACCACAUUCUGGCCGUGGGGAAGGGCAGAAGCAGGAGACCAAUUUGGAGGCUGGGACCUGGGGCCUGGGGCCUAGGACAGGCAUGGUGAGCAGUGGUCAGUUUCUGAAUCCAUUCUCAGGGUAGACACAAUAGGACUGGUGAUUGAUUGAAUAUGAGAUGUGAGACAAAGACAAAUGCCAAGGACGGCUCCAAGGGUUUUUCCUGAACAGCUGCCAGGAUGAAGUUGGCAUUUAUUUAGGUGGAGGAAGAAAGGAAGGAGCAGGUUUGGGAGCUGGAGAUAGAGAUUCGUUUUUGAAAGUGUUAAUUUGAGAUGUUCAAUUAGACACAGAGUGGAGAUGCCAAAUAGACAAUUAUACAGGAGUCUGGUGCUGAGUGUUGAGGUCUGGGAUGGAGACAUCACCCUGAGGGUCCUUGGCAUUUAAAUGCUGUUUAAAACCAGGAGGCUAGAUGAGCUCACCAAGGGAGAGGGAAGGGAUAGAAGAGGGAGAGGGUCUGAGGACUCAGCCCUGGAGCAUAGAUAAUUAACAGGCAGAUGGGGAGAAACUGGGAGAGGGGACUGAGAAGGAACAGCAGGCAAGAGAAAGAGGGCUAAGGGAGAGCCAUGACCUACAAUCAGGUCAAGAAGCAUUUCUACAGGAGAGAUUUAUGCUGCCGAUCUUCCAAUAGAUCAAGUAGCGUGGAGACCACUGAGACCCAGCCACUGGAGACCAUUAGCCUAGGGAGGUCAUUGGUGUCCUUGCCAAGCCCUGUUUUGGUUCUGGGUCCAGGAGACAGAGUGUAGUCAGAGGAGAGGAAUCACAGACAGCCCAGUGCAGACAACAGGCAACUCUUUCAAGGAGUCAUCUUAUAAAGCAACUAGAACAGUACCUGGCAGACACAAGACACGUAAUACAUAUUUUUGAAUGAGGAACUUGGCUCCAGAAGCCAUGAGAAUAACUUUGUUCCAACACAUUCAGGCUGCGGUCAGAAAGGGUGAGCUGGAAGCAGUGAGCUGGGAGAUAAUGAAACCAAAACACCAUUAUCAGGAAGCUUGAGAACAAGGCCACCUUUUAAGUAUCUAGAAAUUCCCAUUAAUUUCUUCCACACCUUGUUCCCCAUCCCACCUGAAGACUGAAGCUGAGAGGCUUUUUUCCCAGUCAUCUUGACCACAAGAUCAGUUCUCUCCGUGAACAUAAAGACAAAAUCGCUGUGACACCAACAGACAGAUUUUUUAACAAGUGGAAUCCAUGUCUCAUGUAAACAAUGUGCUACUGCCUGCCAUUGAGUUCUCUUCCCUCGUUUUCCUUUUUGAAGACUUAACCCCUUUCCCAAAGGGACAUGUGCUCAGGUUUCUUGACUCCACAGCAAUCCCUUCUGUUGUGUAAGGCAAACUGAUCACCUUUCACAACGAGACAAGAAGUGAUUUAAAUCAGAUGGUGACCCAAUGACAAUGUCUGUGCUGUGUCCUAUGGAGAAAACCAAAGCUGAAAUCCAGUAACAGGUGAUAGGAAGAUGUGGAGAUAGAAACUGACCUGAAUUCUGAAAAACAACAAGAGAAAAGGAAGUCUGAGAACAAGCUGGUGUUCUUCCAAAACCUGUUCAUUGUGUGAAUUCCUAGAAGAUAGCGUGACACCGAGAAACAGGCUGGAGUGACACACCCAAACAAUUAUGCUACCUGGAUCUGCCAAGGCAGGAGGACAAACUCAGCAGCCUGGAGAAUGGAGGACACAGUCCAGAGUUGCAACAACAGCAGCAAUUACUUUUGACCACUCACUAUCGGAAAACACUGCUUUAGGCUGUGGAAAUGCAGUAGUAGAAAAGCCAGGCAUAAUCCUUAUCCCCAUGGAGGCACUAUCUCCAUCCAAGGGCAGAGGACCUGCAAGCCCUGAGGUCUCCAGCUGAGGUUCCUCUCUGAAGGACAGUUGCACUUCAGGUCAUGCUGCAGUAUGAGAGAAGGCAGCGUGACAUCUUGAGUUUCUAAUGCUCACACCUGUCUCAGUGAAGCAUUUUUACAGAGUAAUCACCACCCCCCUCACACCCCCAACAAUGUCAUCAAGUCAUAAAUCUCCUUGGUUUGAAAUAUUGGAUUAAAAUAUGAUUAAACAAUAUGUCUCAAUGGAAAGUUAAGAUAUGUGUGCAUUCUCUAUCCUCAAACAAUCCUGGAAUGCCCCCCCCCCCACUUUAUGAUUUUUUAUGAUUUGCCUAUCAGA